RNAcentral lists this ribosomal RNA (502 nucleotides) under uncultured bacterium. RNAcentral describes it as "bacterial SSU rRNA". It matches the Rfam family "Bacterial small subunit ribosomal RNA", at positions 9 to 507 of the family's 1533-position model. The record is from RNAcentral.
GAGUUUGAUCAUGGCUCAGGAUGAACGCUAGCGGCAGGCCUAAUACAUGCAAGACGAACGGUAAGUUGAGUAGCAAUACUUAGCCAAGAGUGUCGUACGGGUGCGUAACACGUAUGCAACCUACCCUAUACAGGAGGAUAGCCUAGGGAAACCUGGAUUAACCCUUCAUAGUAUUAUUGGAUGGCAUCAUUUGAUAAUUAAAACUGAGGUGGUAUAGGAUGGGCAUGCGUCUGAUUAGUUAGUUGGCGGGGUAAUGGCCCACCAAGACGAUGAUCAGUAGGGGUUCUGAGAGGAAGAUCCCCCACACUGGCACUGAGAUACGGGCCAGACUCCUACGGGAGGCAGCAGUAGGGAAUAUUGGUCAAUGGAUGCAAGUCUGAACCAGCCAUGCCGCGUGCAGGAAGAAGGCCUUCUGGGUUGUAAACUGCUUUUGCCAGGGGAUAAAAUUUCCAUGCGUGGAAAACUGAAGGUACCUGGUGAAUAAGCCACGGCUAACUACGUG